Long non-coding RNA from Myzus persicae (green peach aphid), 2307 nucleotides. RefSeq lists it as uncharacterized. The transcript has 7 exons. The record is from RefSeq and is a predicted model, not a curated record. Lineage: Eukaryota; Metazoa; Arthropoda; Insecta; Hemiptera; Aphididae.
GACAACCACGAUUUAAGAUAUAUCUGUGAUUUACAGUAAAUCACAAUAUUGUGUGUUACGUUGUUUAAUGUCUAAUACAUAUUAUGUGAUGGCCGCAGACCUACUGAUUAGAUUGAGAGAAGUGGAGUUUCAUUUUAUGUCUGUGCUGUUGUCGGUUCGAUAGAUCGUUGUAGGCAGAUGUUGGUUCGAUAAAUAAUAAACAAUACGAGUACUCAAUUGUCGAACUACGACAGCGUACUUCACGGCGAUUUCAUUUGAUAUAUAGCAUUUGUGACAACAUUUCUGUGCAAGAGCGUAUUCGACUAUUCGAUUUGAUCCAUUUUCAGUAUUUUACAUUAUAUUUAAUUGCACUGUCGAGUGACAACAUUCGUGUGAACUCAGUGCCCACUUUUUUCACCACCGAUUUUGGAAGAGCUAAUACUGCCCAUUAGGUAAUUUUACUUCUCCACAAUGGUAUCGAAUUUUGUUUUCUCAUUCGUAGCACAUUUGGUAACACUUGAUAGAUCGUUAUAAUAUUAUAAUUAUAAUUUAUAAACAGUUUUAGCUUUAGAGUUAGAAUGUUCUGAUCUUACAAAGAUAUUUGUUAUUUUUUUUUUUAUCUGUCAUCAUCUUGCGGAGUAGUAAAAGUUCUUCGAUUUUCUACUUCAGCAUCCUUCCUGAUAUACAAUUAAAUUUAGUUGGUACUGUGUUGGGGGGGGGGGUAGAAAGUAAUAAAUGUGAUUUUAAGGUGUAAACAUAAAUGUAACAAAUUAUCAUAGACGUUAAACAUAUGGAUGCGGCAUAGUCUAUCUACACUUUGCAUAAGACUUGAUUACUUGUAGUCAACAUAAAGGGGAGCAUAGGCAAGGGGAAAUAAGUUUCUCACUCACACAGAAGUGCCCCCCUCCCCCCCAUAAGAUAAAGAAAUGGAAUGAUAAUUCACGCUAUCUAGUGUUUUAUCAUUCAUAUUAUCCAUCUUAACUUCACGAUUUUGGAUCAAUGCCGCAUUCCUAAGACGUAAUAAUAUAUUAAUAUUGAUAUGAUGAUGUACAUGUGAAAUUUAAAUAAAUCGUAAUAUAAGCUCUCAUAGAGACUUUUUUUUAACUAUUAGUGGUGAUAUAUUAAUAUUAAUACUGUUUUGUAGUAGGUGUUGAUUUGCUUACAUUCUUGAAAAUUACAUGACUUGAUUAAGAAGUUCACUAUCUGGUUUACCUUUGAUAAUACGGUGGUGUACAAGGGCACGGUAUAUUAUUGUAAUUUGUAAUAUCGCAUUCGUAAUAAUCUGUUGUUGGGUCACCUCGAUUAUGAUUAAAUUGAAUCAUGAUCCUGAUAUUAGAUCAUGCACUAUUGAUGUAGCUAUACGCAUAUAUGCUGUGCAUUAGAUUUGGUGCCAAAAUGACUGAAAAAGCUAGAGUCUUGCAUGCGCACAAACAGUCUGAGCUCUAAGAUCAUAUUGUAUUCAUUAUGGCAUCAAGAAUUAGGUUGGUGGCUACAUCUAUAGUACAUGACCUGAGAUCUUGAUCCACCGAGAUAGGUAAUAAUGUAUACCUCAGUACCCCGAUCAUAGGUAAUUAUUAUCUAUGAUCCCAGUAGGUGGUAGGUCACGUCCAGUUGCCUGGAAUACUUUAAUGAUGACACAAUGCACAAUAGCAUAUACUUUAGAUCAAUAUUACUUCACUACUCAGAACUAGCAAGUCCAUGAGCACUUAGAAUCAACGUCAGAUAAGUAGGUACCUGCAUCAAUUAUAUCGCCAGGUCCAUAUUUAGAUUCCAUCAUCCACGAUUAGUACCGGCAUCCGUCACUGAUUUGAAAUUAUGAUUAAUUAGUAUUCCAUAAUUACCUAAAGAAAAUUGUGGCCUGGAAAUUAUUUUCAAAUUACCUUAUAACUUUGUAGCAUCAACACUUAAAAACUGAAAUGACAUGCUUGACAUGCUGAAUUGAGGGGGCUGGAAUCCAUCUUAUUUUUAGAAGAAUGUUUGCCUAACCCUUAUAAUUUUAUAAGUACAUACCAAACAGUAAGACCUGCAAAUCUAUAACAGUUGGUUUAUGUAAAUAAUGCAUAUACUGAGUUUUUACUGGAUCCAUUAAUCUGUAUUGGUAUUUGCCAACUGACAAUGCUGUACAGAAUUGUUGUCAAUUUCUGAUGUAUGUAUUAAUAACAUUUUUGAUAAUUAGUUAAAGGUUUUGAGUUUAUUUAUUUAUUUUGUUCAAAAGUUAUUCAGCCUAUCUUCUGUUGACCUUGCUGUUUCAUUUGAGGAAAAAGUUAUUCCAAUGUUCAAUUGGCCUGAUACUUUGCCAAAUUGUUAAACAGAUGGUAUGACCCAGCA